CAAUGAUGAUUUCUAGAUGACGAGUCUUAUUCGAGUUUUCGAUGCAGACAACAUCCUUUUUUUUAACCAUUCAUGCUUUCCUGACA
This 86-nucleotide small nucleolar RNA is filed under the name Aspergillus ustus. Lineage: Eukaryota; Fungi; Ascomycota; Eurotiomycetes; Eurotiales; Aspergillaceae. The record is from RNAcentral.